RNAcentral lists this ribosomal RNA (576 nucleotides) under uncultured bacterium. RNAcentral's name for it is "bacterial SSU rRNA". It matches the Rfam family "Bacterial small subunit ribosomal RNA", at positions 102 to 674 of the family's 1533-position model. The record is from RNAcentral.
ACGGGUGAGUAAUACAUCGGAACGUGCCCUGUAGUGGGGGAUAACUAGUCGAAAGAUUAGCUAAUACCGCAUACGACCUGAGGGUGAAAGUGGGGGACCGCAAGGCCUCAUGCUAUAGGAGCGGCCGAUGUCUGAUUAGCUAGUUGGUGGGGUAAAGGCCCACCAAGGCGACGAUCAGUGGCUGGUCUGAGAGGACGAUCAGCCACACUGGGACUGAGACACGGCCCAGACUCCUACGGGAGGCAGCAGUGGGGAAUUUUGGACAAUGGGGGCAACCCUGAUCCAGCAAUGCCGCGUGUGUGAAGAAGGCCUUCGGGUUGUAAAGCACUUUUGUCCGGAAAGAAAUCGCACUUACUAAUAUUAGGUGUGGAUGACGGUACCGGAAGAAUAAGGACCGGCUAACUACGUGCCAGCAGCCGCGGUAAUACGUAGGGUCCAAGCGUUAAUCGGAAUUACUGGGCGUAAAGCGUGCGCAGGCGGUUGUGCAAGACCGAUGUGAAAUCCCCGGGCUUAACCUGGGAAUUGCAUUGGUGACUGCACGGCUAGAGUGUGUCAGAGGGGGGUAGAAUUCCACGU